This 70-nucleotide transfer RNA is filed under the name Brassica napus (rape). It matches the Rfam family "tRNA". From Rfam's summary of the family: Transfer RNA (tRNA) molecules are approximately 80 nucleotides in length. Their secondary structure includes four short double-helical elements and three loops (D, anti-codon, and T loops). Lineage: Eukaryota; Viridiplantae; Streptophyta; Magnoliopsida; Brassicales; Brassicaceae. The record is from Rfam by way of RNAcentral.
GCACCAGUGGUCUAGUGGUAGAAUAGUACUCUGCCACGGUACAGACCCGGGUUCAAUUCCGGCUUGUGCA